RNAcentral lists this ribosomal RNA (540 nucleotides) under uncultured Planctomycetota bacterium. RNAcentral's name for it is "bacterial SSU rRNA". It matches the Rfam family "Bacterial small subunit ribosomal RNA", at positions 44 to 586 of the family's 1533-position model. Lineage: Bacteria; Pseudomonadati; Planctomycetota. The record is from RNAcentral.
GUGGAUUAGGCAUGCAAGUCGAGCGAGAAGGGUCCUUUGCUUGCAUUGGACCUGGAAAGCGGCGAAAGGGAGAGUAACGCGUAGGGUACCUACCCCCAGGUCUGGGAUAGCGGCGGGAAACCGCCGGUAAUACUAGAUGAUGUCCCCGGACCAAAGGUGAGAUUCCGCCUGGGGAUGGUCCUGCGUCCUAUUAGCUUGUUGGUGAGGUAACGGCUCACCAAGGCAAAGAUGGGUAGCGGGCGUGAGAGCGUGGCCCGUCUCACUGGGACUGAGACACUGCCCAGACACNUACGGGUGGCUGCAGUCGAGAAUCUUCCGCAAUGGACGCAAGUCUGACGGAGCGACGCCGCGUGCGGGAUGAAGGCCUUCGGGUUGUAAACCGCUGUCAGUGGGGUGGAAAUCAUAUGGGGCAAUCUCCAUAUGUUGACCUAACCGCAGAGGAAGUCCGGGCUAAGUACGUGCCAGCAGCCGCGGUAAUACGUACCGGACGAACGUUAUUCGGAAUCACUGGGCUUAAAGAGUGCGUAGGCGGUCUAACAG